GUAAAUGGCUGCAUAAAACUGAGUGUACUAAGGUAGCGCUAUAAUUUGCCCUUUAAGUGGGGGCUGGUAUGAAAGGGUUCACGUGAAAGUUGCUGUGUCACAAAAAACUUUUUAAAUUAACUUUCAGGUGAAGAGGCCUGGCUUGUUGUAAAGGACGACAAGACCCUAGAAGCUUUACUUAUGGUGUUUUAUGGGUAUAAAUUACCUAAGUUUUGUUGGGGCAACAUAGUUAGUAAGUAUAACUUUUUUUUAAAAAAACUCACAGGUUGUAACCAUGUUUAGUGAAUAAGAUAAGUUACUCUAGGGAUAACAGCGUAAUUUUUUUUAAUAGUUCGUAUUGUAAAAAAAGUUUGCGACCUCGAUGUUGGAUUAAGGUGUCCUUAAGGUGCAGAAGUCUUAAAGGGUUGGCCUGUUCGUCCAUUAAAACCUUACA
This 433-nucleotide ribosomal RNA is filed under the name Idas sp. ESU G. Its description in RNAcentral is "partial 16S ribosomal RNA". It matches the Rfam family "Bacterial large subunit ribosomal RNA", at positions 1923 to 2600 of the family's 2925-position model. Lineage: Eukaryota; Metazoa; Mollusca; Bivalvia; Mytilida; Modiolidae. The record is from RNAcentral.